Molecule: transfer RNA, 68 nt
Filed under: Erilepis zonifer
Lineage: Eukaryota; Metazoa; Chordata; Actinopteri; Perciformes; Anoplopomatidae
Description: tRNA-Arg
Rfam family: tRNA
About the family: Transfer RNA (tRNA) molecules are approximately 80 nucleotides in length. Their secondary structure includes four short double-helical elements and three loops (D, anti-codon, and T loops). Further hydrogen bonds mediate the characteristic L-shaped molecular structure. tRNAs have two regions of fundamental functional importance: the anti-codon, which is responsible for specific mRNA codon recognition, and the 3' end, to which the tRNAs corresponding amino acid is attached (by aminoacyl-tRNA synthetases). tRNAs cope with the degeneracy of the genetic code in two manners: having more than one tRNA (with a specific anti-codon) for a particular amino acid; and 'wobble' base-pairing, i.e. permitting non-standard base-pairing at the 3rd anti-codon position.
Source: RNAcentral
AGGCAAUUAGUUAAGAAAAACCUUUGAUUUCGGCUCAAAAACUUGUGGUUAAAGUCCAUAAUUACCUA